GAUGAACGCUGGCGGCGUGCUUAACACAUGCCAGUCGAACGGAAAGGCCCAAGCUUGCUUGGGUACUCGAGUGGCGAACGGGUGAGUAACACGUGGGUGAUCUGCCCUGCACUUCGGGAUAAGCCUGGGAAACUGGGUCUAAUACCGGAUAGGACCACAUUUUGGAUGGUGUGGUGGAAAGUUUUUCGGUGUGGGAUGAGCUCGCGGCCUAUCAGCUUGUUGGUGGGGUAAUGGCCUACCAAGGCGUCGACGGGUAGCCGGCCUGAGAGGGUGUACGGCCACAUGGGGACUGGGAGACGGCCCAGACUCCUACGGGAGGCAGCAGUGGGGAAUAUUGCACAAUGGGGGCAAGCCUGAUGCAGCGACGCCGCGUGGGGGAUGACGGCCUUCGGGUUGUAAACUCCUUUCGCUAGGGACGAAGCGUUUUUGUGACGGUACCUGGAGAAGAAGCACCGGCUAACUACGUG
This 467-nucleotide ribosomal RNA is filed under the name uncultured bacterium. RNAcentral describes it as "partial 16S ribosomal RNA". It matches the Rfam family "Bacterial small subunit ribosomal RNA", at positions 28 to 507 of the family's 1533-position model. The record is from RNAcentral.